RNAcentral lists this long non-coding RNA (843 nucleotides) under Helianthus annuus (common sunflower). The record is from RNAcentral. Lineage: Eukaryota; Viridiplantae; Streptophyta; Magnoliopsida; Asterales; Asteraceae.
AUGGAGAAAGAAAGAGAUGGAGGGAGACGGCGUGAAGGACAAGGAGGCUGACCACCAUCGUUAGAGGGAGGCUUGGCGUUGGCAUCAUCACAUUCAGAUGAAAUAGAUGGAGAAAGAAAGAGAUGGAGGGAGACGGCGUGAAGGACAAGGAGGCUGACCACCAUCGUUAGAGGGAGGCUUGGCGUUGGCAUCAUCACCAUCCACACGCUGGUUGUAUUCCGGCGAACCUAGGGUUCUGCUGUGACUUCCGACGGUGGUGGAUAGGGUCAAAUCAACCACCAAAACCGGCGGCGACUAGGGUUUCGUGGUGUAAGGGGUUGCUGAUGAGAUUCAAAUCCCACUCAGGGAGAUUUUUGUUGAGUAUCUUGAGAGGUAUUGGACACCUCUUCUUCAUCACCAAACGCAUGCUAAAAGCACCAAGAAGAUUGUGCUGAGGUUGCAAGCAUGUGUCCCGGCAUCCAAUUAAGGUUAGCUUUGAAUCUCUUUUGAUGUUUUUUUAUUUACUUUUGUUGUUGUUACUGUUGCUUUUUUUAUGUUUUGUGCAUAGAUGCAAACAUUUUGACAUUGGUGGAGACAAAGGCCAAUGGAACUAAACAAAAAAGAUGCAAACAUUUUGGCAUUGGUGCAGAGAUGCAAACUUUUUGACAUUUGUAUACGUCGUAUGUGUUAAUUCGUCGAAUAACUUGAUUGAUUAGGAAAAUGUAUUUUGCGCAACUUAUGUAACUAACAUGCUUGGUGUUAACAUCCUAAGUUGCGACCAUAAUACAUAUACAAAUCUAGGCAUAAACUCUUGGUUUAACGGAAAUAUAAAUCUAGCCCCCGCCGCAUCGCGGCAGGUUACUU